Molecule: long non-coding RNA, 600 nt
Organism: Python bivittatus (Burmese python)
Lineage: Eukaryota; Metazoa; Chordata; Lepidosauria; Squamata; Pythonidae
Source: RefSeq, a predicted model, not a curated record
UGAAUGUUUAUAUCAUCACCUUGUGACUCACUGAUCUCUAACAGCAACCGAAUGCCGUCUGCUAGCAAUGGAUGAAUCGGUCCAAAUCCAUCCCAGAUUGCAUGACAACUGAUAGAACAGAACACAGAUGAGAUUUUCUGCAAACCACUGGCAUUAACUCUAAGGGCUCCUAAACUAUUACUUUUGUGGCCUCGACUAUAAGGGCAGCUUUGUGUUUUAUUUCCCUGAAACUGCUACUUACAAGGACCAGCCAACAAAAGAAUCUGUAUGCUAAUCAACUGGGCCAACUAGGCCCUUUCCCUAGCAGAAAUCUUGAUCUCAGACAGUGACACACUACCAUGUCAUGCAAAGAAUUCAGGGCUUUCCUGCCCGGUGUGAAUAUUUUCCUCAAAGCCUUUUAUUCCUCUCCAAGGAGAAUUUUGCCUAUUUUCCACUCUUGUGCUUCAGACUCACAACUUUGUUUCCCUCCCAUUUUUUGAAAAUGCAUUACUUUGGUGGAUGUGUGAAGACCUCUACAGCUUUAGGGGUAAAGGUGAAUGGAAAGGAUAUCCUCAUUGUUGUAUGAAAUCCAGAAGAUGAGAUAAAUUUUAAGGAAAUAGA